UACAGAGGUCCCAAGCGUUGUUCGGAUUCACUGGGCGUAAAGGGUGCGUAGGUGGCGGACUAAGUCGGGUGUGAAAUCUCCGGGCUCAACCCGGAGGGUGCGCCCGAAACUGGUUUGCUCGAGGAUGGGAGGGGAGACUGGAAUUCUCGGUGUAGCAGUGAAAUGCGUAGAUAUCGAGAGGAACACCGGUGGCGAAGGCGAGUCUCUGGACCAUUCCUGACACUGAGGCACGAAAGCCGGGGGAGCAAACAGG
RNAcentral lists this ribosomal RNA (253 nucleotides) under uncultured bacterium. RNAcentral describes it as "partial 16S ribosomal RNA". It matches the Rfam family "Bacterial small subunit ribosomal RNA", at positions 524 to 776 of the family's 1533-position model. The record is from RNAcentral.